CUCCUAGGCCUAACAUCAAUUCUUUAAAAACUUCCAGCCCGUUUUCCCCUUUAACCCGACCCCAACCCCAUAUUCUACCCAGGGAUAGUACCUAAUGUGUGAACGAUAGUAACACUUGACAAUUGCAAGAGAAAAUAUGACCUGAUGCUCCUCUUCUUUAUCUCGCAUUCUAAAUCAGAGUGAUGUAGUGCUAGUUUCGUUGUCCCAGGCACGCGCGUUGAGAAGAUGUGUCAAACAGUGAGUUGCAGGGACGCAAGGGAGUACCCUACAUUUUUUUUCUGUUCUUCUCUCCGUCGCUAUCAAAUCGUACGAUCGACAUCUUUAGGAGGUACGCGUUUUGUCCUUGAUCAUGGAAGAUUGCUACACAUCAUUCUUCAAGGACCGUUGGUCGAUCUGAGCCCUCCACCCCAAAUUCUAUCCGUUCGGAGUAGUGGGAUUGGUUGGGGAAUAUUCGGGACUUUAGAGAGACGUUAGGUUUGGACUCCAAUUUUGUGGGCCUUGGAAAAUUCAAAUUCUUCAGCCCACAUUUUCCUUGCCAACCCUAAAUUAUCAAGUAUGUAUAAUCAUUUUCGGUUCAGGGUUGAGGGGAUUUUUUUUAUGGUGGUGGAAAAUUGAGAAAGAAAGGAGAAAUCUGAAAAUCAUGUGACAAAUUCAUAUCAAAAUACUUCCGGAAAAGGAGAGGCAAUUGUGUUAGCGUUCAAAUGCGAUAUUCUGCUUAAAGUUUUGAACCUGUAGUUCAAAUUUGAGUCUUAGUGUCGGAGUUCGCUGCUUGUUUUCCUUGAUCGAGUUCUCAGUUCUGCUGCCCAAAAGAAGGUGAGGUCUUGAACACCAAUCACAUCCCUCUUGCAUUUUAAGAAAGUCAUAGAGGCUCAAUUUCAUUCAUCGAGUAAAGCCUUGAAACUGACGAAUAGAUUCCGAAGUUUAAAAGACUGAAGAAGAAGUUUGGCUUAGGAGAUCUUCUAUUUUCAUUUUGCAGUUUUAUUUGUAAUGGGCCUAAGCCGUUAUCGUCUUUUACUUUUUCGUACUCACUUUGUAUUUUUAUAUGCUUAGUUUAGGACAGGCACGAAACAAAGAAAAUGGGUCAAAACCCCAAAAUAGGUGGGUCCAAAUUUCGGUUAAGGCGAACAGAACCCGGCUUGGACCCAAAUCUCUUUUUCUCUCUAGCUCUUUUUUUCCCUCUUUUA
This is a long non-coding RNA of Solanum lycopersicum (tomato), 1184 nucleotides long. RefSeq lists it as uncharacterized. Lineage: Eukaryota; Viridiplantae; Streptophyta; Magnoliopsida; Solanales; Solanaceae. The record is from RefSeq and is a predicted model, not a curated record.